GAUUUUUUAAUACUUUCUUAAUUUUUUA
This 28-nucleotide transfer RNA is filed under the name Lilium pensylvanicum. Its description in RNAcentral is "partial tRNA-Leu". RNAcentral also lists the same sequence under 1 other name. Lineage: Eukaryota; Viridiplantae; Streptophyta; Magnoliopsida; Liliales; Liliaceae. The record is from RNAcentral.